GGAGCAGCUUCUGGAGAGACCGGGUAUCCCGGCGCCGACGGAUUCACAAUCUCAGGCAAAAGGACAGAAGAGUAACA
RNAcentral lists this non-coding RNA (77 nucleotides) under Caldibacillus thermoamylovorans. RNAcentral describes it as "Bacillus thermoamylovorans Glycine sequence". It matches the Rfam family "Glycine riboswitch aptamer". Rfam says of the family: This family represents the bacterial glycine riboswitch. Glycine riboswitches usually consist of two metabolite-binding aptamers domains with similar structures in tandem. Lineage: Bacteria; Bacillati; Bacillota; Bacilli; Caryophanales; Bacillaceae. The record is from Rfam by way of RNAcentral.